CAGAUAGUCAUCCGACGGCUACGCUGAGUUUUGACAAAGAGGACGUAUUCACAGGAGACAGAGUUACACUGAGCUGUACUGUAGAGUCUCCUGGAUGGAAGAUUUACUGGUACAGACACAGACCAGACUCUACACCAGUAACCACAACCUCUGGAUACUCCUACACACUCAGCUGGGUCAGUGUCUCUGAUGGAGGACAGUACUGGUGCAGAGCUGGGAGAGGAGACCCAGUCUACUACACCCUGUACAGUGACACAGUCCAGAUAAACAUUACUGCUAUCCGAAGAUAAAUGCACUAACUAUGGUGAUGUGAUCCUGGAGAGCCCUGUCCAUCCCGUGACUGAAGGAGACUGUGUAUUUAAAUAUCAGGAAAUGAAUCCUA
This 382-nucleotide long non-coding RNA is filed under the name Salmo salar (Atlantic salmon). RNAcentral describes it as "lncRNA (ENSSSAG00000100808.1)". Lineage: Eukaryota; Metazoa; Chordata; Actinopteri; Salmoniformes; Salmonidae. The record is from RNAcentral.